GGCUACACAUGCAGUCGAGCGGAAACGACACUAACAAUCCUUCGGGUGCGUUAAUGGGCGUCGAGCGGCGGACGGGUGAGUAAUGCCUAGGAAAUUGCCUUGAUGUGGGGGAUAACCAUUGGAAACGAUGGCUAAUACCGCAUAAUGCCUACGGGCCAAAGAGGGGGAUCUUCGGACCUCUCGCGUCAAGAUAUGCCUAGGUGGGAUUAGCUAGUUGGUGAGGUAAUGGCUCACCAAGGCGACGAUCCCUAGCUGGUCUGAGAGGAUGAUCAGCCACACUGGAACUGAGACACGGUCCAGACUCCUACGGGAGGCAGCAGUGGGGAAUAUUGCACAAUGGGCGAAAGCCUGAUGCAGCCAUGCCGCGUGUAUGAAGAAGGCCUUCGGGUUGUAAAGUACUUUCAGUUGUGAGGAAGGGUGUGUAGUUAAUAGCUGCGCAUCUUGACGUUAGCAACAGAAGAAGCACCGGCUAACUCCGUGCCAGCAGCCGCGGUAAUACGGAGGGUGCGAGCGUUAAUCGGAAUUACUGGGCGUAAAGCGCAUGCAGGUGGUUCAUUAAGUCAGAUGUGAAAAGCCCGGGGCUCAAACCUCGGAAACUUGCAUUUUUGAAACUUGGGUUGAACUAGAAGUUGCUUGUAGCAGGGGGGGGUU
Molecule: ribosomal RNA, 651 nt
Filed under: Vibrio sp. UST050418-389
Lineage: Bacteria; Pseudomonadati; Pseudomonadota; Gammaproteobacteria; Vibrionales; Vibrionaceae
Description: bacterial SSU rRNA
Rfam family: Bacterial small subunit ribosomal RNA
Source: RNAcentral